UGAACGCUGGCGGCAGGCCUCAUACAUGCAAGUCGAACGAGAAAGUAUCUUCGGAUACGAGUACAGUGGCGGACGGGUGAGUAAUACAUAGGAAUCUACCCAAUGGAGGGGGAUAGCUCGAGGAAACUCGAAUUAAUACCGCAUAAUCUCCACGGAGUAAAGAGGGCUUCGGCUCUCGCCAUCGGAUGAGCCUAUGCAGGAUUAGCUUGUUGGUGAGGUAAAGGCUUACCAAGGCGACGAUCCUUAGCUGGUUUGAGAGGAUGACCAGCCACAUCGGGACUGAGACACGGCCCGGACUUCUACGGAAGGCAGCUGUAGGGAAUAUUGGACAAUGAGCGAAAGCUUGAUCCAGCCAUGCCGCGUGUGCGAUGACGGCCCUCGGGUUGUAAAGCACUUUAGGUAACGAGGAAAAGUUAGGUGUUAAUACCAUCUAACCUUGACGUUAAUUACAGAAUAAGCACCGGCUAAAUCCGUGCCAGCAGCCGCGGUAAUACGGAUGGUGCAAGCGUUAAUCGGAAUUACUGCGCGUAAAGCGCGCG
This 539-nucleotide ribosomal RNA is filed under the name uncultured bacterium. Its description in RNAcentral is "bacterial SSU rRNA". It matches the Rfam family "Bacterial small subunit ribosomal RNA", at positions 30 to 571 of the family's 1533-position model. The record is from RNAcentral.